RNAcentral lists this ribosomal RNA (433 nucleotides) under uncultured bacterium. RNAcentral's name for it is "partial 16S ribosomal RNA". It matches the Rfam family "Bacterial small subunit ribosomal RNA", at positions 29 to 507 of the family's 1533-position model. The record is from RNAcentral.
AGCGAACGCUGGCGGCAGGCCUAACACAUGCAAGUCGAACGAACUCUUCGGAGUUAGGGGCGGACGGGUGAGGAACACGGGGGAACGUGCCCUUAGGUUCGGAAUAACUCAGGGAAACUUGUGCUAAUACCGAAUGUGCCCUUCGGGGGAAAGAGUUAUCGCCUUUAGAGCGGCCCGCGUCUGAUUAGCUGGUUGGGGAGGUAAAGGCUCACCAAGGCGACGAUCAGGAGCUGGUCUGAGAGGAUGCUCCGCCACAGUGGGACUGCGACCCGGCCCAAACUCCUACGGGGGGCAGCAGUGGGGAAUCUUGCGCGCUGAGCGAAGGCCUGACGCAGCCAUGCCGCGUGAAUGAUGCAGCUCUUAGGAUUGUACAAUUCUUUCUCCGGAAACGAUAGUGACGGUACCCGGUGAAGAAGCCCCGGCUAACUUCGUG